UUGUAAUAGCUCGUUAAAAACAUGCAAUCAUUUUUAGUUUACGAUUAGAAGCCGAUGUGCAGUUUAUAUAAAAAAAAAAACAAAUAAAAGAGCUAUAGACAAGAGCACACUGAGUUCGGUUUAUCGCGCCUCGACCGUAGUAAAGUCGACGGAAAGAAGAUGCCAAAAUAAAAAAAAACGCGCGUCAUAGGCGAAUUUUUAUUUGAACCGAACAGAUUCAGUGUGCUCACCGCCUCUAUUUUUCACUAAGUAUUCGAUUUUCAUUAUUAUCGAAACGAAUAUACUAGGUGUUGAAUUCAUAUAUUU
Molecule: non-coding RNA, 306 nt
Organism: Cinara cedri
Lineage: Eukaryota; Metazoa; Arthropoda; Insecta; Hemiptera; Aphididae
Source: the annotation of a GenBank genome assembly